RNAcentral lists this ribosomal RNA (397 nucleotides) under uncultured Pelotomaculum sp. Its description in RNAcentral is "bacterial SSU rRNA". It matches the Rfam family "Bacterial small subunit ribosomal RNA", at positions 988 to 1382 of the family's 1533-position model. Lineage: Bacteria; Bacillati; Bacillota; Clostridia; Eubacteriales; Desulfotomaculaceae. The record is from RNAcentral.
CUCCCUGACCGCGUAUGAAAGUACGUUUUCACCCUCGGGUGACAGGGAGACAGGUGGUGCAUGGUUGUCGUCAGCUCGUGUCGUGAGAUGUUGGGUUAAGUCCCGCAACGAGCGCAACCCCUACGUUUAGUUGCUAACGCGUGAAGGCGAGCACUCUAGACGAACUGCCGUUGACAAAACGGAGGAAGGUGGGAUGACGUCAAAUCAUCAUGCCCCUUAUGUUCUGGGCUACACACGUGCUACAAUGGCCGGUACAGACGGACGCAAAGCCGCGAGGUGGAGCAAAUCCUAAAAAGCCGGUCUCAGUUCGGAUUGCAGGCUGCAAUUCGCCUGCAUGAAGUCGGAAUCGCUAGUAAUCGCAGGUCAGCAUACUGCGGUGAAUACGUUCCCGGGCCUU